CCUACGGGUGGCAGCAGUGAGGAAUAUUGGUCAAUGGGCGGGAGCCUGAACCAGCCAAGUCGCGUGAGGGAAUACGGUCCUAUGGAUUGUAAACCUCUUUAUGCGGGGAGCAAUGCCGGGCACGCGUGCCCGGAGGGAGAGUACCCGCAGAAUAAGCAUCAGCUAACUCCGUGCCAGCAGCCGCGGUAAUACGGAGGAUCCGAGCGUUAUCCGUAUUUAUUGGGUUUAAUGGUUUCUUAGGCGGGCUUUUAAGUCGGCGGUGAAAGUCUGUGGCUCAACCAUAGAAUUGACGUUGAAACUGGGAGGCUUGAGUAUGUUUGAGGAAGGCGGAAUGCGUGGUGUAGCGGUGAAAUGCUUAGAUAUCACGCAGAACCCCGAUUGCGAAGGCAGCCUGCCAAGCCAUGACUGACGCUGAUGCACGAAAGCGUGGGGAUCAAACAGGAUUAGAUACCCUUGUAGUC
This 461-nucleotide ribosomal RNA is filed under the name uncultured bacterium. RNAcentral describes it as "partial 16S ribosomal RNA". It matches the Rfam family "Bacterial small subunit ribosomal RNA", at positions 338 to 795 of the family's 1533-position model. The record is from RNAcentral.